Molecule: long non-coding RNA, 874 nt
Organism: Dermacentor andersoni
Lineage: Eukaryota; Metazoa; Arthropoda; Arachnida; Ixodida; Ixodidae
Source: RefSeq, a predicted model, not a curated record
GGCUGUGUAUGUGAAGUUGGCCUGCUACGCGACCGUUUCUUUUGGACGUAGCCUGUUUUUUGGGCUCCCGGCGUAUUCUCGCGUUCCUUGUGCACUUCGGCACGGCGCCACUGCACUAUUCGACUACGGCUAGGAUACUUUUGAGGUACGCCUACCGCACCUGGCGUUGUCACUAGGUGGGCGAAAAGCAGCUCGGUCGUGGUGAGAAUCUGAUGGCAUUCGGUGGAGCUUCGUACGAGUGCUGCGGCUGCUUACCUGGGGCCACAACGUUAGAUGAACGCACAAAAAUUUCGGAACGAGCAUUUAUAUAGAGCGAAAUAAACAUUUCCACAAGGUGUCUUGCGUCUACCUUAUGAAAUGCCAUGUGGUACAGAUUAGAUGGAGGCUUGUAAAGAUCGUUCGCAAUCCUUUUAAUUUAACGAAUCGCACUCAGACCGCGCGAUUGAGCAGCAGAAGCAAAAAAAAAAAAAAAAAAAACGCGCCGAGUAGCGCAGUGUGAGCUAACUAUUAGCGUCCAAAACGCGCGUACCCUAAACCAUAAGCGGAAGGAGUUAAUCCCAUCCGCUUGUUGCGCUACAAUGAAUUGGGCCGCUGGGCUCUAUGGCAGUGUCCGCUCGUGUUGAGUGACUUUCUCUAUUGUGCUACAUUUUCUAUUUCCGUCCUCCGCUGUUGUACGCGUUCGCUCGAUUACGCCGCCGCUCACCGCAGGAACGGGCCAGUAAGAGCUGCACUCUGCAAUCCGUGGCACAAUCCCGUGUAAUAUUAUUUCACGGUCGGCGCGUACGCGGCGAAGCGCUCAUAAUUGAUUUCCUUUCCUCAGCUAGGUUCCUUAUCUUAAGGGUGCAUUUAAUCGUGUGACUGUUAGCCACGUGCU